This 501-nucleotide ribosomal RNA is filed under the name uncultured bacterium. RNAcentral's name for it is "partial 16S ribosomal RNA". It matches the Rfam family "Bacterial small subunit ribosomal RNA", at positions 30 to 523 of the family's 1533-position model. The record is from RNAcentral.
AUUGAACGCUGGCGGCAUGCCUUACACAUGCAAGUCGAACGGCAGCACGGGUGCUUGCACCUGGUGGCGAGUGGCGAACGGGUGAGUAAUACAUCGGAACGUACCUUAUCGUGGGGGAUAACGCAGCGAAAGCUGUGCUAAUACCGCAUACGCCCUGAGGGGGAAAGCGGGGGAUCGCAAGACCUCGCGCGAUUAGAGCGGCCGAUGCCUGAUUAGCUAGUUGGUGGGGUAAAAGCCCACCAAGGCGACGAUCAGUAGCUGGUCUGAGAGGACGAUCAGCCACACUGGGACUGAGACACGGCCCAGACUCCUACGGGAGGCAGCAGUGGGGAAUUUUGGACAAUGGGGGCAACCCUGAUCCAGCAAUGCCGCGUGAGUGAAGAAGGCCUUCAGGUUGUAAAGCUCUUUUGUCAGGGAAGAAACACCGGCUCUAACACAGUCCGGGAAUGACGGUACCUGAAGAAUAAGUACCGGCUAACUACGUGCCAGCCGCCGCCGUAA